GGGAUCCGUUGACUACUACUGCAGCAAGUGUCCCCGUGACUACAGCGGCAGGCAUUGUGAACAUUAUGAAAGUCAAGAUUACUGUCAUCCAAACCCCUGUCGCAAUGGUGGAGUAUGUCUGACUACUCGUCCCGGGCUGAACGCCGACAUGGGGGAUCCGUUGAAUACGACUGCAAGUGCCCUACUGGAUACAGCGGACGGCGAUGGUGAGCAUUACCGUGCUCAUGAUAUUCAAGGAUGCGUGUUGGGCCGUACGCAGACUGC
Long non-coding RNA from Priapulus caudatus, 264 nucleotides. RefSeq lists it as uncharacterized. The transcript has 3 exons. Lineage: Eukaryota; Metazoa; Priapulida; Priapulimorpha; Priapulimorphida; Priapulidae. The record is from RefSeq and is a predicted model, not a curated record.